UACGUAGGGGGCUAGCGUUGUCCGGAAUCAUUGGGCGUAAAGCGCGUGUAGGCGGUCCGGUAAGUCCGCUGUGAAAGUCGAGGGCUCAACCCUCGAAUGCCGGUGGAUACUGUCGGGCUUGAGUACGGGAGAGGCGAGUGGAAUUCCUGGUGUAGCGGUGAAAUGCGCAGAUAUCAGGAGGAACACCGAUUGCGAAGGCAGCUCGCUGGAACGUUACAGACGCUGAGACGCGAAAGCGUGGGGAGCAAACAGG
Molecule: ribosomal RNA, 253 nt
Filed under: uncultured bacterium
Lineage: Bacteria
Description: partial 16S ribosomal RNA
Rfam family: Bacterial small subunit ribosomal RNA
Source: RNAcentral